Molecule: ribosomal RNA, 362 nt
Filed under: uncultured bacterium
Lineage: Bacteria
Description: bacterial SSU rRNA
Rfam family: Bacterial small subunit ribosomal RNA
Source: RNAcentral
AACGAACGCUGGCGGCAGGCCUAAAACAUGCAAGUCGAACGCUCUAGCAAUAGGGAGUGGCGCACGGGUGAGUAACAUGUGGGAAUAUGCCUUUUGGUACGGAACAACUUUUGGAAACGAAAGCUAAUACCGUAUGGUCCCUUCGGGGUAAAGAUUUAUCGCCAAAAGAGUAGCCCGCACUGGAUUAGCUAGUUGGUAAGGUAAUGGCUUACCAAGGCGACGAUCCAUAGCUGGUCUGAGAGGACGAUCAGCCACACUGGGACUGAGACACGGCCCAGACUCCUACGGGAGGCAGCAGUUAGGAAUAUUGGACAAUGGGCGCAAGCCUGAUCCAGCCAUGCCGCGUGAGUGAUGAAGGCCUU